Molecule: ribosomal RNA, 697 nt
Filed under: uncultured bacterium
Lineage: Bacteria
Description: bacterial SSU rRNA
Rfam family: Bacterial small subunit ribosomal RNA
Source: RNAcentral
UUGCUGACGAGUGGCGCACGGGUGAGUAAUAUAUAGGUAACGUGCCUCUUAGUCUGGGAUAGCCAUUGGAAACGAUGAUUAAUACUAGAUACUCCUUCUCAUUAUAAUUUGAGUCGGGAAAGUUUUUCGCUAAGAGAUCGGCCUAUAUCCCAUCAGUUAGUUGGUAAGGUAACGGCUUACCAAGGCAAUGACGGGUAGCGGGUUUGAGAGGAUGAUCCGCCACACUGGUACUGAGACACGGACCAGACUCCUACGGGAGGCAGCAGUGAGGAAUAUUGCACAAUGGAGGAAACUCUGAUGCAGCAACGCCCCGCGGAGGAUGACGCAUUUCGGUGUGUAAACUCCUUUUAUAAGGGAAGAAAAUGACGGUACCUUAUGAAUAACCACCGGCUAACUCCGUGCCAGCAGCCGCGGUAAUACGGAGGGUGCAAGCGUUACUCGUAAUCACUGGGCGUAAAGGACACGUAGGCGGGUUGUCUAGUCAGGUGUGAAAUCCUACAGCUUAACUGUAGAACUGCACUUGAAACUGGCAACCUAGAGUAUGGGAGGGGGAGAUGGAAUUAGUGGUGUAGGGGCAAAAUCCGUAGAUAUCACUAGGAAUACCGAAAGCGAAGGCGAUCUCCUGGAACAUUACUGACGCUAAGGUGUGAAAAGCGUGGGGAGCAAACGGGAUUUAGAUUACCCCCGGUAGUCCAAC